CCUACGGGUGGCAUCAGUAGGGAAUUUUCGGCAAUGGGGGAAACCCUGACCGAGCAACGCCGCGUGAACGAAGAAGUUAUUCGUCAUGUAAAGUUCUGUUACCAGGGAAGAAAGAGAAAUUUGACGGUACCUGAAGAAUAAGCUCCGGCUACCUACGUGCCAGCAGCCGCGGUCAUACGUAGGGAGCGAGCGUUAUCAGGAAUGAUUGGGCGUAAAGGGUGCGAAGAUGGCAGAGUACGUCUUUUGUAAAAAUGCUGGUCGAAACCCAGUAGUGCAAAAGAUACUGUAAAGCUAGAGUAUGACAGAGGCAAGUGGAACGACAUGUGUAGCGGUAAAAUGCGUAAAUAUAUGUAAGAACACCAGUGGCGAAGGCGGCUUGCUGGGUCGAUACUGACAUUGAGGCACGAAAGCGUGGGGAGCAAACAGGAUUAGAUACCCGAGUAGUC
This 446-nucleotide ribosomal RNA is filed under the name uncultured bacterium. RNAcentral's name for it is "partial 16S ribosomal RNA". It matches the Rfam family "Bacterial small subunit ribosomal RNA", at positions 338 to 795 of the family's 1533-position model. The record is from RNAcentral.